This 851-nucleotide long non-coding RNA is filed under the name Chrysemys picta bellii (western painted turtle). RNAcentral's name for it is "lncRNA (ENSCPBG00000013870.1)". Lineage: Eukaryota; Metazoa; Chordata; Testudines; Emydidae. The record is from RNAcentral.
UCCUUGGCUUUCCCAGGUUUUCUUACACAGGCUAAAAAUCCUUCCAGCCUGAGACCAUCACUUCUCACAGUUCAGUCUUUGUUCCUCACGUGUUUUCAGGUGUGGUGUUGUCCGUGGUUCAACCCGCAGGAUUAGGGGCCAUUUCUGGCAUCCUUGUUUAUUUCACAGUUGUUGGUGUGACCCAGGGGCAGUUGAACCACGGACGGAGCUGAGUUUAAGCUGUUAUGCAGGCGUCCCGUAAGCUUCUCCAUCAGCCAGUCCCCCCUCCUUCCUGCCGCAAGCUGGAGAGGAGCCAUGGCCGCUGCUGAGGGCAAGGCGGGGGUGAAGCGCCGAGCCCAGCCGCCUUCCACAGCCUGGCCGGAGGAGGAGGGAGGAGAGAAAUGUGAUAGAGGUGCAGAAACUGAAAGGAAUUAUCCGUUCUAUUAUAGUUACUACUUACAUCAAAUCUUCCAGAGCUUCAUUUGUCACAAAUUAUUUCACUGCAGGACUGUGUUCAUGCUGCCACUCAGUGGUAGCAAAGAGAUAGCUCAUCUCUGUCUAUCGAUUCCAUCUGCAUGCAACAGCUGCAGAUAAAGGACUAGACACUCUUUAACCAGGCAGCCAGCUGGACUAAAGCCCACAAAAAAACAACUACUCUAAACUUCUCAGUGAUAAGAGAAAAAAUAAGAAUCUGCUCCAGCAACAUUACUUUCCAGUUCUUCCUUCACAGCAACAGCCCAGAAAGCUAAUAUAACUGCAAUCAACGGCCCACAUCCAUGAAGAACCUAUCUAUAGAAUCUCCAUGACAUGUAUUGUUAUAUACGAUGGCAAUGGCUAAGUUUUCCAAUAAACGUGUGACUCAAGUUGAUACA